This is a small nuclear RNA of Sciurus vulgaris (Eurasian red squirrel), 107 nucleotides long. Lineage: Eukaryota; Metazoa; Chordata; Mammalia; Rodentia; Sciuridae. The record is from Ensembl.
GUGCUUACUUUGGCAGCAUACAUGCUAAAGUGAGAACUGUGCAGAGAAGAUGAGCACGGCCCCUGUGCCAGGAUGACACGCCAGGUCACAAAGCAGUCCAUAUUUUU